Columba livia (rock pigeon) is the source of this 3591-nucleotide long non-coding RNA. RefSeq lists it as uncharacterized. The transcript has 4 exons. The record is from RefSeq and is a predicted model, not a curated record. Lineage: Eukaryota; Metazoa; Chordata; Aves; Columbiformes; Columbidae.
CCCACACGGACAGCUGCAGCUACAAAGCACCCCAGUGACCUAGAUUCAGCUGUAGAUUACUGUCUGCUUUGGCCUGUGCCUCCCAUCGGUGCACCAGGAGUCUGAUUUUGUUGCACAAGCUAACUUGCUUACUGCUCUGACCCAUUUUACCAUAGCAACCUGGUUUGCUGUACCAGAGCCUAGAAAAAGCACACAGGCGACUUUUUCAGGAUUCCAAGAUUAAGUUCACUCUCUGCUAUUUUUUUUCCUUCCCCCCGCCCCCCCAAAUGUGCUUAGCAGACAUGACGAAGAAGAACUGACACUUUCCAACAACACUGGAAGCCAGGAAAAGAUUUAGGCAAGAAGGACUGUCCUUAUCUCCAGGAAAGUAGAUGUUUGAGCUGUUUGGACUGAGCACCCUUUCAAGCACUUCAGCUCUCAUACAAGGGGAAGGUUUCCUACACAACUGGUGGUCAAUGCCUUGAACUGUGUCUGACAAGAAAGUGGUAGCCAAGGUAACAUGGUUCAUGCUCUGGACAGCAACGUAACAUACUCUUGGAGGUUAUAUUUGAUCACUUCACUGGAAAGACUUCAGAGACUAAAAGUUACAGGUUGUGUACAGGUGCAACAACAGCAAGGGUACCUUGCCUGAUGCAACACAUUGAAUAAGAGAAGGAUGAACUGGGCUUCCUAAAAGCAAGGACUGGGGAUUCAGAAGGCAACUGAAGUGAAAAUAAGAAUGGAAACACCAAACUAGGCUUUGUGAAGAGGAACGAAAGGAAGCAAAGACUUUUCUCCUGGGGUCAAGGUGAAGUUGAUGGAGAAAAUGCAAAUGAAUUUAACAGCUCAAACAUCUCUACUCCCUGAUUAGCCCCUUGUGGGAAGUAGCCUUUUCCAGAAUCAACACUACUGAAUGUACUGCUAAAUACUGAUUAUCUGUGAAAAAUUAGACUUGACAUCCUAUUAUAAAGAAGAUUCCCAUUUUUCCAGAGUUGCACCAUAUUAUUCAUAAGGUUAUAAACUACGUAUAUAAUGGGCUUUAUAUUUUACCUUUUGUGUUACAGGAAAAUAUCUAUGGUCAAAUGAAUGCUUCCGAUUUAACAGAUGAAGGAUAUGAUAUUAUUUUAAGCUUCUCAGAGCUUGUGAUGUGACACUGGUAUGUAAAUUUUUAUACAGAAACAGCAAAUAUUAGAUAGUUGUCACAUUUAAUAAUUCGGUAUGUGUAGCAUGAUCUGGUCAAAUAAGACCAAUAUUGGAGGUAUUAGACAGCUGUAAAUCAGAUGGGGCUGUGUUAGCUGAACAGUAAAUAAAAUUUCAGUUUGAUAGUCAUAGUUCUGUCCAGUGUUUUCUAGUAGCCCAAAUAUUUUCAGGAGAAGUAGAAUUUUAAAAUAUGGCAUAAAUACAAAAACAUAGUCAUGCAAAUCGUUUUCAUAUGCCUCCAGUGAAAGACUCCAACAUUUUCUAAUAAUAUUACUUAACCGCUAGAGGCAUUUUUACUCAUCAGACCAUCUUUAGAGUUUAUAAACUCAAGCAUAUAAAAUUAUGGUGCUUGAAAGUACCUGAAGUUGUCCACUAAUAAGUGGACAUUCAGUUUUUUUAAAGGCUUAUGUCCACAUUAACAAGUGUGCAGCUCUGUCAUAAUGGGGGCAUAGAAUGAACAGAAAGCUGAGCACUGGGUGUCUGUACCAUGCAUUUUUUCAGAGGGGGUUACUUUAACUCUCAUCUAGUCCUAUGGAUCAAUUUUAAUUAUGAUUUAGAAAGCAGGAGAGGAAAUAUUUCAGAAUAUCUUUCAUCCUAGCAUCAUCCAAAACCAAAUCUAGUUCAGAUGUUCCGAGACUGUUCUGUGAUACAAACAAACCAUUCAUUGUAACUAAGGAUGCACAAGGAGAUUCCUUUAAAAAUGUACUAACAUGCUAACGGAGAUGCAUCCUGUUUUAAUGAGCAUCAGAAAAUCUGUUUCAUGUGACACAAAAGGCCAAGAAGUUCAGUUUUUGUCAAUUAUUCUUAAAACUCAGGUAAGAAACUUCCUUCCCACUGCAGACAUAACAAAGCUGCCAUGCAUACAGAGCAAGGUCCAAAUAAUAGUAUUGUUGGUUGUAGUUUGAAGCGAGCUAGGCAUGCCUUAUAAAGGUGAAUAUUCUGAAUAUUCUGGUCUCAUUUACACUGUUCUGCUAUGUUCUUCAUGGCAAUUAUUCUGAGGUUAGGGGUCUGGUCACUAGAGAUGACUGCAGUUUAAUGACGUUUGGUUGCCAAUGAGUCAUCUUCUAAAAUUCUUCAUAGCACAGAAAGGAAUAUAAAAGGAUAUUUUUAUUUUUUCCACUUCAUAUAAAAGAAAGCAUAGAGUAAUUUGAGUUUGAAUGGAUCUCAGAAGGCAAUCUGGACUAGACCCUGUUCAAAGCAGGGCUAACUUCAACUGUCUUCCAUGAGAACUAACAUGUGCAAUCAUAAGGCUUUCCCUAGUAGCUUAAAAAAGUAUUUUCCUUUUUCCUUGUCUUGAUUGAGCAGUCUAUAGCAGAUGACCACCAUUAUGCCCACUUGUUAGCUUUGCCUCUGAUCCCAACUCGUGUAUCAGGGCCAUACAAAUCUUCUGCAACUGUGCAACUGCAAAUGGAUAAAGACUCUCCCUCCUCUUGUUAGAAGCAUAAGUUUCCAAAAUUGUCUGUCAUGAAGUCCCAAGUCUCCAUCACCUCUAGCCUAGAUGUUCCUUCUUCUGUAAAAUGCAGAAUGUAGUUUCUUGACAUGACAAGGAUUCAGCAAAGAGCCACUUGGUCUCCUGCUCAUCUUCCCUGGUGCUGCAUAGUCUAGUCAUCUCCAAUAUCAGAUCUUUCACCAGGUAGCUCAGUGAUUUGACCAUAAAACACCUCCCAUUGAUGAGGUGACUAUCUGUGGCAGCCUGUAAAAGCAUCCUAUUAAAAAACGUGUCAUUCAAACUAGUGAUGUUGAAGGAAAUUCAAGUUAUAAACAAGUUUUUAUAUUUAAGACUACUGCUGCCUCUCUGAGAGGCUAAUUUUUUUUCUUGAUUUGUAUUUUAUACAAACCCUCGGACACUUCAAACUCAGAUGCAGAAAUGAUUUCUGUUGAUCUGAAUGUGGAUUUUAAAGAUAAGAAAAAAGCCAAGUGCAGGAACUCUCACUAAGAUAAUCAGCUUUGAUAUAAAGUUUUGUCCUUUCAGAUAAUUUCUCUUUGGUUCCUGGCUUUCACAGUGUCAUUUUAUGUUUCUUGUGAAACAUUUUGUCUCCAGCUGUUUACUACUGCAGGCACAGGCAAUGCUAGUGAAGGUUACAAAGAGCUUCUGACUUUGGGUGCUGGAGAUGCACACAGACCAAGAUGUUACUCUAUUUUUCUGUAAUGCUCAAAGAUGAGCAAAGAGGCAAGACACUAAAAUUGUCAGCGGAGAAGAAGAAAAAAAUCAUCAGAAUCUACAAAAUCCUCAUGUGUACAUAACUAGAAUGCAACGUAAUUUUCUUUCCCAUUUUUAUUCAAAAAAUAAAGCUUAUUUGUUUGUUGCUUAUACCUGUGAAAUUACCUGAAGUAGUGCAAAAAGAAUGUAAUAUAUGCAGAAAACACGGCUGCACUAGAAGAAACAGAGAUUUAAUAAAGUUUAGGAAAUAA